Molecule: ribosomal RNA, 329 nt
Filed under: uncultured Chloroflexota bacterium
Lineage: Bacteria; Bacillati; Chloroflexota
Description: bacterial SSU rRNA
Rfam family: Bacterial small subunit ribosomal RNA
Source: RNAcentral
GAUGAACGUUGGCGGUGUGCCUAAUACAUGCAAGUCGAACGGAGUUAAUAGCAAUAUUGACUUAGUGGCGAACGGGUGAGUAACGCGUUGGUGAUCUGCCUCAAAGUGUGGAAUAACGUUCCGAAAGGAACGCUAAUACCGCAUGUGCUCUCGAUUUUUAGAAAGUUGAGAGUAAAGGAUUUAUUCGCUUUGAGAGGAGCCUGCGUCCCAUCAGCUAGUUGGUAGGGUAAUAGCCUACCAAGGCUUUGACGGGUAGGGGACCUGAGAGGGUGGCCCCCCACAAUAGGAACGUAGAAACAACGGUCCGACUACACCUACCGGGAGGGCUG